Molecule: ribosomal RNA, 468 nt
Filed under: uncultured bacterium
Lineage: Bacteria
Description: partial 16S ribosomal RNA
Rfam family: Bacterial small subunit ribosomal RNA
Source: RNAcentral
GACGAACGCUGGCGGCGUGCUUAACACAUGCCAGUCGAACGGAAAGGCCCUGCUUUUGUGGGGUGCUCGAGUGGCGAACGGGUGAGUAACACGUGAGUAACCUGCCCUUGACUUUGGGAUAACUUCAGGAAACUGGGGCUAAUACCGGAUAGGAGCUCCUGCUGCAUGGGGGGGGUUGGAAAGUUUCGGCGGUGGGGGAUGGACUCGCGGCUUAUCAGCUUGUUUGUGGGGUAGUGGCUUACCAAGGCUUUGACGGGUAGCCGGCCUGAGAGGGUGACCGGCCACAUUGGGACUGAGAUACGGCCCAGACUCCUACGGGCGGCAGCAGUGGGGAAUAUUGCACAAUGGGCGGAAGCCUGAUGCAGCAACGCCGCGUGCGGGAUGACGGCCUUCGGGUUGUAAACCGCUUUCGCCUGUGACGAAGCGUGAGUGACGGUAAUGGGUAAAGAAGCACCGGCUAACUACGUG